CCCUUAGAUGUUCUGGGCCGCACGCGCGCUACCCUGAUGCAUUCAACGAGCCUAUCCUUGACCGACAGGUCCGGGUAAUCUUUGAAUCUGCAUCGUGACGGGGAUAGAUUAUUGCAAUUAUUAAUCUUCAACGAGGAAUGCCUAGUAGGCGCAAGUCAUCAGCUUGCGUCGAUUACGUCCCUGCCCUUUGUACACACCGCCCGUCGCUCCUACCGAUUGGGUGUGCUGGUGAAAUGUUCGGAUCGGCCGUUUGUCGCGGUUUCCGCGGCUCGUGGCUGAGAAGUUCAUUAAACCCUCCCACCUAGAGGAAGGAGAAGUCGUAACA
Molecule: ribosomal RNA, 325 nt
Filed under: uncultured eukaryote
Lineage: Eukaryota
Description: partial 18S ribosomal RNA
Rfam family: Eukaryotic small subunit ribosomal RNA
Source: RNAcentral